AUCCACGGCCAUGCUACCCAGAACAAGCCUGAUCUCGGAAGCUAAGCAGGGUUGGACCUGGUUAGUACUUGGAUGGAAGACCACCUAGAAAGACCAGGUGCUGUAGACG
RNAcentral lists this ribosomal RNA (109 nucleotides) under Pteropus alecto (black flying fox). Lineage: Eukaryota; Metazoa; Chordata; Mammalia; Chiroptera; Pteropodidae. The record is from RNAcentral.